GGGGACUCCUGGAGUCCAUGCAGUAUGCAGAGGGCGGGGGCUUGGAGGAAAGUCGUUGAUGAUGAGCACUGCCUGUUGGGGCUAAGGGAGGUAAGAUGAAGUAAACACAUGGCAGCCUCUCUCUCCCACUGACGAUACAACCUUGAUAGAGGGCAUGGUGGAGCUAAUUGAAUGAUCCGAACAGUAAAUACCAGCAAGUAGAUGGGUGAAAACAGCCAGGAUUCCAAGUACCACAAAACUGGUGUUGAGUUGUGCACACUUUUUCCUCUGGAAUCUCUUGAGCAGAACUCAGCAUGACCUGAAACCCAGGAGUGAGCCGCACAGUGCCGACAAUGAGAUGCAGAAGAAAACCUCUGGUUCUGGCUGAAGCAGUGGACAAGGAGACUCUUGAAACUCAGAGCCUGGGGGCACCCCUGAUAGUGUUCUUUACUUUCUCUCCCUUCUCACAUUCCAGCCACCAGAGAAUGCAAGAGAGGAGUAGCAGUGGCAGUAAAUGUGGCAUCAACAACAACAACAAAAAGCAGGGACUAGGACUCUGAGGAAGGGAAGCCUAUAUUCUGGCCUCAGGGUGCUCUUUCUUCCUGCCUAGGGGUCAUAUACCACCUGUGGGCACCUCAGGACUCCUGACAACCUCACUUUUACCUGUUGCCUUUUUAGCCCAGGAUCAGUAGGUAUGGGGGUGCACAUGCUCUUGAGGACACAGCAGCUGUCACAUCAGGGAACCCGACUCCAGAACCCUCUGUAAAUAUCCCAUGGCUUGGCCCUGCCCAUCACCCCACCCAGGCCUCCUCAAAUGAGGAGCUAAAGCUGGCCCAUGGGGCCAAAGUGCAGAGGGUAGGGAUAAUGAGCCACUGGCCUUCUAGAACCUGGCAUGGUCCCUGAGUCAGCCAUGACACAGGCAGGGGAGGAGGGUGGGGCUGGGAUAAAGCUGGAUCUCAAGGGAGUUAGAUUUGUUCAGCCUAGGGGAGGGGAGCAGAGGAGAUGCUCUAAGAUGUGGCUUUACCAAAUGUUUCAAGGACACGGAUGGACCAAGCAAUGGCACCUGUGAUGAAAGAUUGAAGCCCAGGAGGUGGGGCUCCUGCUAAUCUCACUUGACUAUUGUAAGGCUCCACAAAAAGCAAGGUUCUUAGCAAUGUAGAUGGGGCUUUAUGGGUAGGAAAGGGAGAAACUGGUAUUUCUUUACGCAACUUCUGCUAAGCACCUCAUAUGUGCUAUGAUAACUAAUCCUCACUAAGCCCAUGACACAAAGAUUCAUGUUUUAGAUGAACAAGCUAAGAUAUAAAAAAGUUAAACAAGAGACAUCCAAGGUCACAGUCCUAGUAAGGGACAGGGCUGAGUAAGCCUUCAGUAAAUAUAUUCUCCUACCCCAGUAUAAAACCCAGAAAAGUCUUUAAUGUCCCAAGUCACGGAUCCUAACACAUGGGCCAUGAACUUUAGAACACAGAGCCCAGCAGCAAUGUGAGGGAGACGUAGAAAUCAAAACAACUCACAUUUAGUAACUUGCUGAAUGCUAGACAGUCUUCCCCAUGUUGUGAGAAAUGAAAGAACAUAGCCCCAUGACUUUGAGGUCUUUACAAGCCUCCCUGAAGAACUAGCUUCUCGAGCUGACAGACAGGCAUGUUUUCACAAAUUUACCAGGUACCUGUGACUCUGAGGAACACACCGCCUGGGCAAGGAUGGAUUGGCCAGAAAAUCACUCAGUCCAAGGUAGUUCUUACAGCCAGAAGAAUUCACGGGUGCUCUUAGUGGUUCUCAGACCUGCUUGUCUCAUUUAUUGAAGCUCAACUAAUGCCUUGAAGGGGAAGAAAUUAGCUUUCCAUCCAGUUAGGAAUGACUGUUGUGGCCUGGCGCAGUGGCUCACGCCUGUAAUCCCAGCACUUUGGGAGGAUGAGGCGGGAGGAUCACGAGGUCAGGAGUUCAAGACCAGCCUGGCCAAUAUGGUGAAACCCCAUCUCACUAAAAAUACAAAAAUUAGCUGGGCGUGGUGGCACGCGCCUGUCAUCCCAGCUACUCAGGAGUCUGAGGGAGAAGAAUCGCCUGAACCCGGAGGCGGAGGUUGCAGUUAGCAGAGAUUGCGCCACUGCACUCCAGCCUGGGCAACAAAGCGAGACACCUUCAAAAAAAAAAAAAAGAAUGACUGUUUUUUCUGAGGACCAAGGAGGCCUGAGGGAGCAAACUCCUUUGGAGUUUCGGGGAUGUGGUUGUGUGAGCUUGUGGGGGAGGGCAAACAGUGUGGGCUAUAGGGUGGUGGCCUGGGAAGAACAAGAAGGUCCUUCAGCAGCCUAGAUAGGGGGAAGCUGCUUGUCUCUUCGUGAGUGAGGAAGGUGGGGUUUUAUUCUAUGACCUUAAUUUGUAAAAUUCCUUAAUUUGUAAAAUGGCAUUGGAGAAAUAUCUAGCUCAGGGGAUGGUAUACUGAUAAACUGUGAAGUGCUAAAGUAAUUAAAUGCAUAACACAGACUUGGAGAAGU
This 2468-nucleotide long non-coding RNA is filed under the name Homo sapiens (human). RNAcentral's name for it is "long intergenic non-protein coding RNA 951". The record is from RNAcentral. Lineage: Eukaryota; Metazoa; Chordata; Mammalia; Primates; Hominidae.